This 305-nucleotide ribosomal RNA is filed under the name uncultured bacterium. RNAcentral describes it as "bacterial SSU rRNA". It matches the Rfam family "Bacterial small subunit ribosomal RNA", at positions 333 to 630 of the family's 1533-position model. The record is from RNAcentral.
CAAUUCCUACGGGGGGCAGCAGUGGGGAAUAUUGCGCAAUGGGCGAAAGCCUGACGCAGCGACGCCGCGUGAGGGAUGGAGGUCUUCGGAUCGUAAACCUCUGUCAGCAGGGAAGAACGGUCACUGUGCUAAUCAGCAGUGAAUUGACGGUACCUGCAAAGGAAGCACCGGCUAACUCCGUGCCAGCAGCCGCGGUAAUACGGAGGGUGCGAGCGUUAAUCGGAAUUACUGGGCGUAAAGCGCUCAUAGGCGGUAUGUCAAGUCAAGGGUGAAAUCCCCGCGCUCAACGGGGGAACGGCCUUUGG